ACCAUGCAAGUCGAACGAACUCUUCGGAGUUAGUGGCGCACGGGUGCGUAACGCGUGGGAAUCUGCCCUUGGGUACGGAAUAACUCAGAGAAAUUUGUGCUAAUACCGUAUAAUGUCUUCGGACCAAAGAUUUAUCGCCCAAGGAUGAGCCCGCGUAAGAUUAGCUAGUUGGUGGGGUAAAAGCCUACCAAGGCGACGAUCUUUAGCUGGUCUGAGAGGAUGAUCAGCCACACUGGGACUGAGACACGGCCCAGACUCCUACGGGAGGCAGCAGUGGGGAAUAUUGGACAAUGGGCGAAAGCCUGAUCCAGCAAUGCCGCGUGAGUGAUGAAGGCCUUAGGGUUGUAAAGCUCUUUUACCCGGGAUGAUAAUGACAGUACCGGGAGAAUAAGCUCCGGCUAACUCCGUGCCAGCAGCCGCGGUAAUACGGAGGGAGCUAGCGUUGUUCGGAAUUACUGGGCGUAAAGCGCGCGUAGGCGGUUUUUUAAGUCAGAGGUGAAAGCCCAGUGCUCAACACUGGAACUGCCUUUGAAACUGGAAAACUUGAAUCUUGGAGAGGUCAGUGGAAUUCCGAGUGUAGAGGUGAAAUUCGUAGAUAUUCGGAAGAACACCAGUGGCGAAGGCGACUGACUGGACAAGUAUUGACUCUGAUGUGCGAAAGCGUUGG
Molecule: ribosomal RNA, 667 nt
Filed under: Sphingomonas sp. 31AAV
Lineage: Bacteria; Pseudomonadati; Pseudomonadota; Alphaproteobacteria; Sphingomonadales; Sphingomonadaceae
Description: bacterial SSU rRNA
Rfam family: Bacterial small subunit ribosomal RNA
Source: RNAcentral